AGCAGCCGCGGUAAUUCCAGCUCCAAUAGCGUAUAUUAAAGUUGUUGCAGUUAAAAAGCUCGUAGUUGAAUUUCGGGAUCAAUAUGUUGGUCGUGCCUCGGUACGUACUAGCUUAUUGGUUUCUCCUUUCUGAAGAACCAUGAUGUCAUUUAUUUGGUGUCGUGGGGAAUCAGGACUGUUACUUUGAAAAAAUUAGAGUGUUUAAAGCAGGCUCACGCUUGAAUACAUUAGCAUGGAAUAAUGAAAUAGGACGUUUGAUUCUAUUUUGUUGGUUUCUAGGAUCGACGUAAUGAUUAAUAGGGAUAGUUGGGGGCAUUAGUAUUCAAUUGUCAGAGGUGAAAUUCUUGGAUUUAUUGAAGACUAACUACUGCGAAAGCAUUUGCCAAGGAUGUUUUCAUUAAUCAAGAACGAAAGUUAGGGGAUCGAAGACGAUCAGAUACCGUCGUAGUCUUAACCAUAAACUAUGCCGACUAGGGAUCGGAUGAUGUUAAUUUUUUCAAUGACUCAUUCGGCGCCUUAC
RNAcentral lists this unclassified non-coding RNA (520 nucleotides) under uncultured Glomus. RNAcentral's name for it is "SSU rRNA". It matches the Rfam family "Eukaryotic small subunit ribosomal RNA", at positions 569 to 1091 of the family's 1831-position model. Lineage: Eukaryota; Fungi; Glomeromycota; Glomeromycetes; Glomerales; Glomeraceae. The record is from RNAcentral.